UGGGGAAUCUUCCGCAAUGGACGAAAGUCUGACGGAGCAACGCCGCGUGAGUGAAGAAGGUUUUCGGAUCGUAAAACUCUGUCUUUUGGGGCGAACGUGAGUAUGGUGAACAAUCAUAGUCAGUGACGGUACCAAAGGAGGAAGCCACGGCUAACUACGUGCCAGCAGCCGCGGUAAUACGUAGGUGGCAAGCGUUGUCCGGAAUUAUUGGGCGUAAAGAGCGCGUAGGCGGGAUAGUCAGUCUGUUGUAAAAGUGCGGGGCUCAACCCCGUGAUGGCAAUGGAAACAGCUAUUCUUGAGUGCAGGAGAGGAAAGUGGAAUUCCCAGUGUAGCGGUGAAAUGCGUAGAUAUUGGGAGGAACACCAGUGGCGAAGGCGACUUUCUGGACUGUGUCUGACGCUGAGGCGCGAAAGCCAGGGGAGCGAACGGGAUUAGAUACCCCGGUAGUCCUGGCCGUAAACGAUGGGUACUAGGUGUGGGAGGUAUCGACCCCUUCCGUGCCGGAGUUAACGCAAUAAGUACCCCGCCUGGGGAGUACGGUCGCAAGACUG
RNAcentral lists this ribosomal RNA (551 nucleotides) under uncultured bacterium. RNAcentral describes it as "partial 16S ribosomal RNA". It matches the Rfam family "Bacterial small subunit ribosomal RNA", at positions 355 to 896 of the family's 1533-position model. The record is from RNAcentral.